UUUUUUUUUUUUUUUUUUUUUUUUUUUCUUU
This 31-nucleotide non-coding RNA is filed under the name Prorocentrum micans. Lineage: Eukaryota; Dinophyceae; Prorocentrales; Prorocentraceae. The record is from RNAcentral.